RNAcentral lists this ribosomal RNA (207 nucleotides) under uncultured Mollicutes bacterium. RNAcentral describes it as "partial 16S ribosomal RNA". It matches the Rfam family "Bacterial small subunit ribosomal RNA", at positions 1179 to 1381 of the family's 1533-position model. The record is from RNAcentral. Lineage: Bacteria; Bacillati; Mycoplasmatota; Mollicutes.
AUGACGUCAAAUCAUCAUGCCCUUUAUGACCUGGGCUACAAACGUACUACAAUGGCCAAUACAAAGAGAUGCGAAGCGGUGACGUGAAGCGAAACCUCAGAAAGUUGGUCUCAGUUCAGAUUGAAGUCCUGCAACUCGACUUCAUGAAGGCGGAAUCGCUAGUAAUCGCGGGUCAGCAGACCGCGGUGAAUACCGGUUCCCGGGUUU